GGGGGUUCUGGAUACAGCCUAGUGACUGACUGGAUGGGGGUUCUGGAUACAGACUAGUGACUGACUGAAGGGGGAGUUCUGGAUACAGACUAGUGACUGACUGAAGGAGGGGUUCUGGAUACAGCCUAGUGACUGACUGAAGGAGGGGUUCUGGAUACAGACUAGUGACUGACUGAAGGAGGGGUUCUGGAUACAGACUAGUGACUGACUGAAGGGGGGUUCUGGAUACAGACUAGUGACUGACUGAAUGGGGGUUCUGGAUACAGACUAGUGACUGACUGAAGGGGGGGGGUUUCUGGAUACAGACUAGUGACUGACUAAAUGGGGGUUCUGGAUACAGACUAGUGACUGACUGAAGGGGGGUUGGAUACAGACUAGUGACUGACUGAAGGAGGAGGGGUGUUCUGGAUACAGACUAGUGACUGACUGAAGGAGGAGG
This is a long non-coding RNA of Oncorhynchus tshawytscha (Chinook salmon), 439 nucleotides long. The record is from Ensembl. NCBI's taxonomy places the organism in Eukaryota, Metazoa, Chordata, Actinopteri, Salmoniformes, Salmonidae.